AACGAACGCUGGCGGCAGGCCUAACACAUGCAAGUCGAACGCUCCGCAAGGGGGAGUGGCGCACGGGUGAGUAACACGUGGGAACCUACCUUCUGGUACGGAACAACCAAGGGAAACUUUGGCUAAGACCGUAUACGACCUCCGGGUGAAAGAUUGAUCGCCGGAAGAGGGGCCCGCGUCCGAUUAGGUAGUUGGUGAGGUAACGGCUCACCAAGCCUUCGAUCGGUAGCUGGUCUGAGAGGAUGACCAGCCACACUGGGACUGAGACACGGCCCAGACUCCUACGGGAGGCAGCAGUGGGGAAUAUUGGACAAUGGGCGCAAGGCCUGAUCCAGCCAUGCCGCGUGAGUGAUGAAGGCC
RNAcentral lists this ribosomal RNA (360 nucleotides) under uncultured bacterium. Its description in RNAcentral is "bacterial SSU rRNA". It matches the Rfam family "Bacterial small subunit ribosomal RNA", at positions 29 to 416 of the family's 1533-position model. The record is from RNAcentral.